GUAGCAGAAUUGCCUUUUUUGCUAUGCUCUAAGCCUGGUUGCUGUGGGUUUUGAGGGGACUAUUUGGAUGCUGGUUCUAGGAAGCUCUGUUUGCUUCCUGCUUCUGUGCUUUUUUUUUCUUCCACAAAAGAAAAAAUUAAAUGGGCAGAAGACCUCUCAGGAAAUUAAACCAGAGAAGGGAAUGGGAGGAAAAGAAACAAAUACUGAUGAAACAGAACAAUAGGUCUGAGAUAACAUAAGGUCUUCAAGCAAAGGGGUAGCUUCCCCAGAGCAGGACUCAGUCCCGGUAACAACACCUCACUGCAACCCUUCUGUGCUUCAUGUGUCCUGCAUGGGAAGAGGCUGGUGUCCACCUGACUACUCAUUUCUGCAAGUAGCAAGCGGACUUUCAGGAGUAUUCUGGUAACAUGGAGCUUUAUAAGAUUGUUCCAAACACUGAACAAAUCCAGCCAGUUGUCAGCCCGAGUUUCUGUUACUCUGAUGCGUUACAUCUCUGACGACAACACUGCCUCCUGCUCUGCUCUUUUAGAUAUGUGAUGCUGAAACUUUAUUUUAAUAGGUGGAAAUAUGUGGGGGUUUCGUCUGGUGAUUUGUGUUUCCAGGUAUGCCCAAAAAUAAGAGGUCUUAAAUCUAAACUGCCUUCACAAUAUUGCUCAGUGAUGCGGGCAUGUUAAGGAGCUGUUGGUACAAGAAUAUCUUUCUCAUAUUAUGACACAAUCGCACAUGGAAUAACUCACACAUUUUUGCCUGUAAUGAAUUCCACAGAUGAACAGAAAUAGGCAAGAACUUGCCCCCGACUUACACCAAUUUUCCAAAUUUUCAUUUCAGCAGAACCCUGGUUUUACUAUUUCUGACUUUGCCUUACAUACAGCUAUUUACAGUCUUUACAGGUACUGUAUUUGCAUGGUACUUCACACUUGGUAUUUAUUUUAGGUGGAAUGACUAUUUCAGUUUAGAUCAAAAUACACUAUUUUGAUUAGAUGCUUUGUUGAGAUUAAGUUCUAUCUACUUCUUGCUGUGUUGAUUAAGAUAACAAUUGUGGUGUAUGUGUAAGUGUGGACGAACAUUGUCUCGGCCUCAGUGUACGUAACGGUAACUAAGAGGGAGAGAAGUUCAGGAAGAAUGACACCAGGUUUUCAAUCUAGAUGUUCUU
Pezoporus occidentalis (night parrot) is the source of this 1153-nucleotide long non-coding RNA. RefSeq lists it as uncharacterized. The record is from RefSeq and is a predicted model, not a curated record. NCBI's taxonomy places the organism in Eukaryota, Metazoa, Chordata, Aves, Psittaciformes, Psittacidae. The transcript has 3 exons.